CGGGUACCAAUUUUAUCCGUGCCGUACCAGAAAUUGAGCGCAGUGUAAACGGGGCUUUAGUGUCCCCUAUCUGAACUUUUACUCCAGUAAAAAAUGCAAUUUACGCGCAGCUAUUUUGCUGUUGCAUUUGUGUGUACAAAACUGAUACUACUUCAUAUAUUGUAAUUGCAAAAUAGGCUAAAUUGAUGACUCUUUUGAAAAAUAAGUAUAUAAUUAUUCAAUCGAACCUAACAUAUAUAGAGUCGAGAUUUUGAGGAUUUAGAAUCCGUUGCCGAUGUCCGUCUUAUGUUGUACCUGCAAGCAACUCUUAACAUUUUCAACAAUAUUUUUGCUAUUAGGCCUACCAUUUUAAAUUAAAUAUUGUUUUCAAAAUUAUUAGUAGCUAUAUGUAAUAGGAUAGUUACGAGUGCAAUUUGGAUAAACAUGCACGAGUGAGUUUUUAAAAAUAGCACAAGGUGACUAUUUGAGGUUUUAAAAAGAGUGCUCGUUUGAGAGCCAGUUGUUUAAAAACUCACGAGUGUUUGUUUUAUCCACGUUGCGCGAGGAAAUAUGCUAUGUAAUGUUACUUAUUAGCAAUCACGCAUGAAAAAUUGUAUAGAACUCCACUAAUUGAAAACUUCUUGCUUUAUUUUUUAAAAAC
Non-coding RNA from Paramuricea clavata, 640 nucleotides. Lineage: Eukaryota; Metazoa; Cnidaria; Anthozoa; Malacalcyonacea; Plexauridae. The record is from the annotation of a GenBank genome assembly.